This is a non-coding RNA of Tachysurus vachellii, 363 nucleotides long. Lineage: Eukaryota; Metazoa; Chordata; Actinopteri; Siluriformes; Bagridae. The record is from the annotation of a RefSeq genome assembly.
AUGUUUGCUUCAGCUCCACUGCUGCUGCUGGCUCUCGCCCCCUAUGUGUUCUGUGCUACUGAGCUCAUCCAGUCAGACUCACUGCUUAUAAAGCCAGGAGAGACUUUAACCAUCACCUGUAAAGUGUCUGGAGCUUCUAUCACUGAUAGCAGCCACUAUGGAACAGCUUGGAUUCGACAACCUGCAGGAAAAGCUUUAGAAUGGAUCAACAGUAUUUAUUAUGAUGGGAGUAUUCAUAAGAAAGAUUCACUUAAAGACAAGUUUGUGGUCUCUCGAGACACUUCCAGUAACUCCGUGACCUUACGGGGACAGAACAUGCAGACUGAAGACACAGCUGUGUAUUACUGCGUGUGUAUCAUCUGA